AACGAACGCUGGCGGCAUGCCUAACACAUGCAAGUCGAACGAGACCUUCGGGUCUAGUGGCGCACGGGUGCGUAACGCGUGGGAACCUGCCCUUAGGUUCGGAAUAACUCCCCGAAAGGGGUGCUAAUACCGGAUAAUUUCUUCGGACCAAAGAUUUAUCGCCUUUGGAUGGGCCCGCGUUGGAUUAGCUAGUUGGUAGGGUAAAAGCCUACCAAGGCGACGAUCCAUAGCUGGUCUGAGAGGAUGAUCAGCCACACUGGGACUGAGACACGGCCCAGACUCCUACGGGAGGCAGCAGUGGGGAAUAUUGGACAACGGGCGAAAGCAUGAUCCAGCAAUGCCGCGUGAGUGAUGAAGGCCUUAGGGUUGUAAAGCUCUUUUACACGGGAUGAUAAUGACAGUACCGGGAGAAUAAGCUCCGGCUAACUCCGUG
Molecule: ribosomal RNA, 433 nt
Filed under: uncultured bacterium
Lineage: Bacteria
Description: partial 16S ribosomal RNA
Rfam family: Bacterial small subunit ribosomal RNA
Source: RNAcentral